AAUCAAUGAACUUGUAAAAGUAUAUAUUUUGAAAAUAUAAAAAAGAAAAAAUUUUCUAUUGAUUU
Molecule: transfer RNA, 65 nt
Filed under: Cucujoidea sp. 5 KM-2017
Lineage: Eukaryota; Metazoa; Arthropoda; Insecta; Coleoptera
Description: tRNA-Ser
Source: RNAcentral